UUAGUUUUAAUAGAUUUGUUUAUUGCUUAAUUUAUAAAGUUUAAUUGGGUCUAUCAUUUCAAUUGAACUCAAGAAAUAUGUUUUAAGGUAGCUCAAACAGAAAAAUCUUCACUGAAAUAAUUCAUAAAACAACUAAUGAUGCAUGGGAAGUAUCAUCAUCAUCAUCUCCAUUAUGGUGUUGCCGGGUGCCUGCAAGUCGUCCAAGGCAAUGCUGACCUCCUCCACUUCCUUCAACCUCUCCAGGCAAGUCUUCUUGAGAUCAGCUGCCUUCAGCCAGUACUCAUUCCUCAGUCUGGUCACAAUGGACUCCAGGUAGCCCUUACUUUUGGUUUUCUUCUCCACUUUGUUUUCCAGCUUAUUCUUGUUAUGCUACAAGAUCCCAAGCUGAAGCUUCAUGCUGUCACGAUCUUUGACCAGUCUGGAGGGAGUAGAGACAGGUCUGCAGUGUUAACCUCCUCCAAUUUGCUCACCUCGCUACUCUGCUUCUUCUUUAGCUGCUCAAUCUCAUUGUGAUAGUGCUGGUUGAUGGGCAAGCUUCAAGCCCCAUUAGAAGAAAACAAUGAACACUUACACGGAAGGCACUGACCAUCGGCAUCUAGAGCAGGUUGUCCAUAGUCAAACCCUCCAGUGAGGAGGCCUCCUUAGUUUUCCCCGCAUAGCAGCAAUUAACUCAAAGAAUCUGGGUGACUUCAAGGCAGGGGCUACCUAACAAACUUAUUUAUAAAGGCUUUUGCCACCACCUCUGGAGGGUAGCUCUCAGCAGGGGGCAACCUCCCCCAGAUCAGCCUCUGAAUUGGAACUCUUUCAAAAUAGACACGUUCAUUAGCUCAGAGUUAAGAAUAUUAAUGCAGAAGGUCAACAGACAGCAUCGAGCAAUUUUCAGAUGGUGUAUGCUUUCUCCAAUCAUGAUGGUCAUGGCCUCAAAUGAAAUACAUCAUCUCUGUUAUCUCCAAUGACUGUUUGAUUGAAUUUAUAAUUUAUUGCCCACUUUUCUUUAAUGUACUUAUUUAUCAACUAACCACAGAGAUAACUUGCAAUAAUGCAUGCAGGGAACUAAAACAGAAAUGCACGAACAUGCUUGUUCUGUGUCCUUUCCUCCUCAUGAAAAG
This 1109-nucleotide unclassified non-coding RNA is filed under the name Hevea brasiliensis (rubber tree). Lineage: Eukaryota; Viridiplantae; Streptophyta; Magnoliopsida; Malpighiales; Euphorbiaceae. The record is from RNAcentral.